This 156-nucleotide small RNA is filed under the name Flavobacterium lacus. RNAcentral's name for it is "Flavo-1 RNA". It matches the Rfam family "Flavo-1 RNA". Lineage: Bacteria; Pseudomonadati; Bacteroidota; Flavobacteriia; Flavobacteriales; Flavobacteriaceae. The record is from RNAcentral.
AAAUAGCCCCGAUAGCAGUGGAAAGCCUUUUGCAGGAUUGUUGCAGUUUUUCUUGGCAAAAAAAAGCGACCAAUCCCGAUAGCUAUCGGGACUCUUUUUUUGCCUUAGAAAAACGCAACAAGACAAAAAAGCUUGGAACGGAUAGCGGGAUUAGCU